This is a long non-coding RNA of Brienomyrus brachyistius, 699 nucleotides long. RefSeq lists it as uncharacterized. NCBI's taxonomy places the organism in Eukaryota, Metazoa, Chordata, Actinopteri, Osteoglossiformes, Mormyridae. The record is from RefSeq and is a predicted model, not a curated record. The transcript is spliced from 5 exons.
CUUUGGGUCUGGUUAGGGUUAGGGCUUCCUCUGCUGCCCCCUGGAGGAUGGGCUCCCCCUUUGGGUCUGGUUAGGGUUAGGGCUUCCUCUGCUGCCCCCUGGAGGACGGGCUCCCCCUUUGGGUCUGGUUAGGGUUAGGGCUUCCUCUGCUGCCCCCUGGAGGAUGGGCUCCCCCUUUGGGUCUGGUUAGGGUUAGGGCUUCCUCUGCUGCCCCCUGGAGGACGGGCUCCCCCUUUGGGUCUGGUUAGGGUUAGGGCUUCCUCUGCUGCCCCCUGGAGGAUGGGCUCCCCCUUUGGGUCUGGUUAGGGUUAGGGCUUCCUCUGCUGCCCCCUGGAGGACGGGCUCCCCCUUUGGGUCUGGUUAGGGUUAGGGCUUCCUCUGCUGCCCCCUGGAGGAUGGGCUCCCCCUUUGGGUCUGGUUAGGGUUAGGGCUUCCUCUGCUGCCCCCUGGAGGACGGGCUCCCCCUUUGGGUCUGGUUAGGGUUAGGGCUUCCUCUGCUGCCCCCUGGAGGAUGGGCUCCCCCUUUGGGUCUGGUUAGGGUUAGGGCUUCCUCUGCCGCCCCCUGGAGGAUGGGCUCCCCCUUUGGGUCUGGUUAGGGUUAGGGCUUCCUCUGCUGCCCCCUGGAGGAUGGGCUCCCCCUUUGGGUCUGGUUAGGGUUAGGGCUUCCUCUGCUGCCCCCUGGAGGAUGGGCUCCCCCUU